Molecule: ribosomal RNA, 232 nt
Filed under: uncultured bacterium
Lineage: Bacteria
Description: partial 16S ribosomal RNA
Rfam family: Bacterial small subunit ribosomal RNA
Source: RNAcentral
CGGGACGGGUGAGUAAUGUCUGGGAAACUGCCUGAUGGAGGGGGAUAACUACUGGAAACGGUAGCUAAUACCGCAUAACGUCGCAAGACCAAAGAGGGGACCUUCGGGCCUCUUGCCAUCGGAUGUGCCCAGAUGGGAUUAGCUAGUAGGUGGGGUAACGGCUCACCUAGGCGACGAUCCCUAGCUGGUCUGAGAAGAUGACCAGCCACACUGGAACUGAGACACGGUCCAG